This 254-nucleotide ribosomal RNA is filed under the name uncultured bacterium. RNAcentral's name for it is "partial 16S ribosomal RNA". It matches the Rfam family "Bacterial small subunit ribosomal RNA", at positions 524 to 776 of the family's 1533-position model. The record is from RNAcentral.
CACGUAGGGGGCAAGCGUUGUCCGGAUUUAUUGGGCGUAAAGAGCUCGUAGGCGGCUCGGUAAGUCGGGUGUGAAAUUUCGAGGCUCAACCUCGAAACGCCACCCGAUACUGCUGUGGCUAGAGUGUGGUAGGGGAGACUGGAAUUCCUGGUGUAGCGGUGAAAUGCGCAGAUAUCAGGAGGAACACCGAUGGCGAAGGCAGGUCUCUGGGCCACUACUGACGCUGAGAAGCGAAAGCAUGGGGAGCGAACAGG